CCUACGGGUGACAGCAGUGAGGAAUAUUGGUCAAUGGGCGCGAGCCUGAACCAGCCAAGUAGCGUGAAGGAUUACUGCCCUACGGGUUGUCAACUUCUUUUAUUAAGGAAUAAAGUGAGGCACGUGUUCCUUUUUGUAUGUACUUUAUGAAUAAGGAUCGGCUAACUCCGUGCCAGCAGCCGCGGUAAUACGGAGGACCCGAUCGUUCUCCGGAUUUAUUGGGUUUAAAGGGAGCGUAGAUGGGUUGUUAAGUCAGUUGUGAAAGUUUGCGGCUCAACCGUAAAAUUUCAAUUGAUACUGGCAGCCUUGAGUACAGUUGAGGUAGGCGGAAUUCGUGGUGUAGCGGUGAAAUGCUUAGAUAUCACGAAGAACUCCGAUUGCGAAGGCAGCUUACUAAACUGCCACUGACAUUGAUGCUCGAAAGUGUGGGUAUCAAACAGGAUUAGAUACCCGGGUAGUC
This 460-nucleotide ribosomal RNA is filed under the name uncultured bacterium. RNAcentral's name for it is "partial 16S ribosomal RNA". It matches the Rfam family "Bacterial small subunit ribosomal RNA", at positions 338 to 795 of the family's 1533-position model. The record is from RNAcentral.